RNAcentral lists this ribosomal RNA (497 nucleotides) under uncultured bacterium. RNAcentral describes it as "bacterial SSU rRNA". It matches the Rfam family "Bacterial small subunit ribosomal RNA", at positions 28 to 514 of the family's 1533-position model. The record is from RNAcentral.
GAUGAACGCUAGCUACAGGCUUAACACAUGCAAGUCGAGGGGCAGCAUGGUCUUAGCUUGCUAAGGCCGAUGGCGACCGGCGCACGGGUGAGUAACACGUAUCCAACCUGCCGUCUACUCUUGGACAGCCUUCUGAAAGGAAGAUUAAUACAAGAUGGCAUCAUGAGUUCACAUGUUCACAUGAUUAAAGGUAUUCCGGUAGACGAUGGGGAUGCGUUCCAUUAGGUAGUAGGCGGGGUAACGGCCCACCUAGCCGACGAUGGAUAGGGGUUCUGAGAGGAAGGUCCCCCACAUUGGAACUGAGACACGGUCCAAACUCCUACGGGAGGCAGCAGUGAGGAAUAUUGGUCAAUGGGCGAGAGCCUGAACCAGCCAAGUAGCGUGAAGGAUGAAGGUCCUACGGAUUGUAAACUUCUUUUANACGGGAAUAAAGUAUCCUACGUGUAGGAUUUUGUAUGUACCGUAUGAAUAAGCAUCGGCUAACUCCGUGCCAGCAG